CCCUGCCAUUUGUACACACCGCCCGUCGCUACUACCGAUUGAAUGAUUUAGUGAGGACUUCGGACUGGGGCCUAUGCGACUUUCGGGUUGCGUCGGUAAUCUGGAAAGAUGUCCAAACUGUAUCAUUU
RNAcentral lists this ribosomal RNA (128 nucleotides) under uncultured eukaryote. RNAcentral's name for it is "partial small subunit ribosomal RNA". It matches the Rfam family "Eukaryotic small subunit ribosomal RNA", at positions 1651 to 1774 of the family's 1831-position model. The record is from RNAcentral.